RNAcentral lists this ribosomal RNA (320 nucleotides) under uncultured bacterium. RNAcentral describes it as "bacterial SSU rRNA". It matches the Rfam family "Bacterial small subunit ribosomal RNA", at positions 29 to 346 of the family's 1533-position model. The record is from RNAcentral.
AGUGAACGCUGGCGGCAGGCCUAACACAUGCAAGUCGAACGGCAGCACGGCAGUAGCAAUACUGUGGGUGGCGAGUGGCGGACGGGUGAGGAAUACAUCGGGAUCUACCCUGUUGUGGGGGAUAACGUAGGGAAACUUACGCUAAUACCGCAUAAGAACUGAGGUUGAAAGCGGCGGACCGCAAGGCGUCGCGCGAUUGGAUGAACCGAUGUCCGAUUAGCUAGUUGCGGGUAAAGGCCCACAAGGCGACGAUCGGUAGCUGGUCUGAGAGGACGACCAGCCACACUGGAACUGAGACACGGUCCAGACCUCGUACGGGA